RNAcentral lists this unclassified non-coding RNA (425 nucleotides) under soil metagenome. RNAcentral's name for it is "partial contains 5.8S ribosomal RNA, internal transcribed spacer 2, and large subunit ribosomal RNA". The stretch from base 1 to 120 matches the Rfam family "5.8S ribosomal RNA", at positions 35 to 154 of the family's 154-position model. The record is from RNAcentral.
GAUGAAGAACGCAGCGAAAUGCGAUAAGUAGUGUGAAUUGCAGAAUUCCGUGAAUCAUCGAAUCUUUGAACGCACAUUGCGCCUUCUGGUAUUCCGGAAGGCAUGCCUGUUCGAGAGUCAUUAACAACCGUUUCGAUCCCUUUCUUUCAGAAAUUACAAAGAGGAAAAGGGUUUGGUUAUGGUGGAGGAGGGAAAGGGAGCGUUUAGCCUGUAAAAAAAGAGGCUGUGUUCCGCCUCCCCCCCAAAAUCGUACAGGCGGUCGUGUGCGCCCACGCAUCGAGGUGUUGUAAAAGCUGCCACGGCACUUUUCACCUGUGCAGUGCGAGAUUGGCCAGCCGGUUUAAAAACCCCUCCAAACAAUCAAAGGUUGACCUCGGAUCAGGUAGGGAUACCCGCUGAACUUAAGCAUAUCAAUAAGCGGAGGA